This 416-nucleotide ribosomal RNA is filed under the name uncultured bacterium. RNAcentral's name for it is "bacterial SSU rRNA". It matches the Rfam family "Bacterial small subunit ribosomal RNA", at positions 355 to 787 of the family's 1533-position model. The record is from RNAcentral.
UCGGGAAUAUUGCGCAAUGGAGGAAACUCUGACGCAGUGACGCCGCGUGCAGGAAGAAGGUUUUCGGAUUGUAAACUGCUUUAGACAGGGAAGAUAACGACAGUACCUGUAGAAUAAGCUCCGGCUAACUACGUGCCAGCAGCCGCGGUAAUACGUAGGGAGCAAGCGUUAUCCGGAUUUAUUGGGUGUAAAGGGGUGCGUAGACGGGAAGGCAAGUUAGUUGUGAAAUCCCUCGGCUUAACUGGGGAACUGCAACUAAAACUAUCUUUCUUGAGUGUUGGAGAGGAAAGUGGAAUUCCUAGUGUAGCGGUGAAAUGCGUAGAUAUUAGGAGGAACACCAGUGGCGAAGGCGACUUUCUGGACAAUAACUGACGUUGAGGCACGAAAGUGUGGGGAGCAAACAGGAUUAGAUACCC